RNAcentral lists this ribosomal RNA (338 nucleotides) under uncultured bacterium. RNAcentral's name for it is "bacterial SSU rRNA". It matches the Rfam family "Bacterial small subunit ribosomal RNA", at positions 505 to 838 of the family's 1533-position model. The record is from RNAcentral.
GUGCCAGCCGCCGCGGUAAUACGGAGGGUGCAAGCGUUAUUCGGAAUUAUUGGGCGUAAAGGGCGCGUAGGCGGUCUCCUAAGUCAGAUGUGAAAGCCCGGGGCUUAACCCCGGAAGUGCAUUUGAAACUAAGGGACUUGAGUAUGGGAGAGGGAAGUGGAAUUCCUGGUGUAGCCGGUGAAAUGCCGUAGAUAUCAGGAGGAACACCGGUGGCGAAGCCGACUUCCUGGACCAAUACUGACGCUAAGGCGCGAAGGCGUGGGGAGCAAACAGGAUUAGAUACCCCUGGUAGUCCGCGCCAGUAAACGGUGAACACUAGGUGUAGCGGGUUAUUGACC